UGGCCGGCUGGCCGGUGGACGGCGUGCACCUGACAGGCGCGCGCCUGGCCGCGUUGACGGAGCGGCCUGCGUUCGACUGGGUGGGCGCGUCGA
This 93-nucleotide transfer RNA is filed under the name Chromobacterium vaccinii. Its description in RNAcentral is "tRNA-Val(gac)". The record is from RNAcentral. Lineage: Bacteria; Pseudomonadati; Pseudomonadota; Betaproteobacteria; Neisseriales; Chromobacteriaceae.